AGAUUGAACGCUGGCGGCAGGCCUAACACAUGCAAGUCGAGCGGCAGCACGGGUACUUGUAUCUGGUGGCGAGCGGCGGACGGGUGAGUAAUGCCUAGGAAUCUGCCUGGUAGUGGGGGGAUAACGCUCGGAAACGGACGCUAAUACCCGCAUACGUCCUACGGGGAGAAAGCAGGGGACCUUCGGGCCUUAGCGCUAUCAGAUGAGCCUAGGUCGGAUUAGCUAGGUUGGUGGGUAAUGGCUCACCGAAGGCGACGAUACCCGUAACUGGUCUGGAGAGGAUGGAUCAGUCACACUGGAACUGAGACACGGUACAGACUCCGUACGGAGGCAGCAGGUAGGGAAUAGUGACAAGUGGACGAAAGCCUAGGAUCC
RNAcentral lists this ribosomal RNA (375 nucleotides) under uncultured soil bacterium. RNAcentral's name for it is "bacterial SSU rRNA". It matches the Rfam family "Bacterial small subunit ribosomal RNA", at positions 26 to 391 of the family's 1533-position model. The record is from RNAcentral.